Molecule: long non-coding RNA, 5590 nt
Organism: Rhipicephalus microplus (southern cattle tick)
Lineage: Eukaryota; Metazoa; Arthropoda; Arachnida; Ixodida; Ixodidae
Source: RefSeq, a predicted model, not a curated record
CCACCGGCGUGCUGCAGGAGGAGCAGCCUCCAUCAGCAGUGCGCCGACGUAGCGUCUGUAGCCGCUAAGGAAUGUCCCGCGCCGACGGCGGCAGGCCAACCAGUGCGCGGAAUCACGGCCGCCGCAUCGAGACAUCUGCGGAAGCGCCUUCCAGACAUCGACUACGAAACGGUCCUUAGCGAUCGCCGGGAAACGAGAAGGAGGCAGGCGAGAGAGUCGGGGUUUUUGUUCCCCGGCGGCUCCCGGAUUCAAAGAUGGCGCUGCGGCUGGCUUGUUUUGCAUUCGGCCCGCGGCUUGCGCGGCGUGGGGCUUCAUGGACGGCGUCGGAAACGCGCGCUUCGGCGCAACGUCGGCGGCGCCAACUCGGGCUUCGUUCGAAUGUCGGUGGCCUCCCAUCGUCUCAUCGCCGCGCAGCCGGAUGUCGAGGCUGAAGUCCGUGUACCAGGAGGGAAAUAUACGACUCCAAUGGCGUAGCACAAAGCGGAAACGUGGAUCAGGAUAAAACGACGACGAUGACUCGACUCCGAGCUCCGAACGAAUGCUGAAGCGAACUCCGACUUCACCGACGUCACCUCCUAAGCAAGCAUUGCACCGAAACGAAAGCCACCCGCGCCGUCGGACAAACCAAAUGCGGGUCUUCAGAAUGCCAAUUAUCUGUGAAGGAUGCCGUAGGUCUCAGUAUUGACGUAUCAACAGAUAACAAAACAAAUAGAUCGCUGUUUAGGCAAGUAUUGAUCUAGUCUUAGACAGGAAGAAAGCUCAAACGAAUCCAAUGACUUGACGAGAUGUUCAGAAAUGUCCAAUUCUCGUCUGACCUGAUCAUUAUUUUUGGCAAGCUCUUCAGUAGAGUUUCUUUUACGCCAGUGGUUCAAGAUAUUGUCGAUUCAAUUAAGGUUACUAUCAUUAACACUGCUUGGAAUAUUCAACUUCCACGGCCAAAUAAGGGAUCUUUGUGCAUGGCUGUACCUUUGUGUACACGUUGAAAUGAUCUAUCAUGUGGACCUCAUGCCGUACUAGCGUGAAUAGGGUACUGCUUCCAGUCAAUGGAGCAUGAAAUCUCACGCAACACCCUUAGUACCUAUCGCUAAGUCAUUCGAUGAGUUGUUGUGGCCCUAAAAUUUUUAAGAGUUGCGUAGGUGGUCGAGCAAUGUAGGUAGUAGUGACGAUGUGAUACUCGAUUGAAACAAUCGCAACUAUGAACUGUUAUCAUAUUAUAUAUGGGAUACAGCUGUUUCAGGUAACAGUAAAAAUAAUGUUCAGAAACUAGUGGAAAGACGAAAACCUCUUAGGGAAGCAAUUUCGCACAUUCACCGGUGAUAAAGCGUAAUGUCUGAGCUCGUAAAACAAUUUGCUAAAUUAGCAAUAAAUCUAAAAACUGCUAAAUGUUCGGCACACUCACGAUAAAAGUUUCACAGCUCGCCAGAACAUUGAUAAUUCGUGCUUCGUUCAAAUAAUAAUGCCACAACUUUUAUUCCAAUAACUAUAAGGCGUCAUAGUUAAGGAGAAUUUUGAUAGACUUUUAUAUUCAAAACAAACUUUUUAUUUAUAGCUGUGGCAGAAUUCAUUUUAUCCUAAAUCAAAAGGUGCCCAAAGGUAAACUAAUUGCAUGUGUGUGCACAUGUACAGAUUGGAUAGGCUAAUGUAGUAGCGAAUACUGCUUAGAGAAAGCUUAUUGACGUUAUGUACAAAAAAUACAUGAUAAACAUUUCAUUUAUUCAUGGUUACAUACAAUCCUGUGUAUUACCGUGUUCAUUUUUUAAGUGGAGGUAAUUUUUAUUCCAUUUGUCGUAGCUAUAAGAAACUGGGCACCACUUUUUGUGCCCAAGUAUAUUUCGUAUUUCUACGUAUAUUUUUACUUGCCUGUCAACCAUACAAAUUAGCAUCUCCCGUAUGAGUUAUUUUCAAUGUCAGUGUGACAAUUCUCGAUAAGUUCCUUCUUUUUUAUGUAUACUCCUGCAAUGCAAAUGCAACAUAAUUUUAAUUUCGUAUGAGUAAGCCAAAGUUGCUCCGAGAUGGGUCGGAGUUGAAUACGAGUGGUUUUUGUACCUUUUCUCAGGGAUAAUUUGACCAUUGGAAUGCUACUGACACAUCUACGGAAACAUUGGGCUCGUGCUUACAGGUACAUUAAAGAGAAACAAUGACUUCGUUUAGAUAGAAAAACUGCACUGUGAGAAGUCUAACGACAUAUGUUUCCCUAUUAUAAGCUCAUCACUAUGGCAGAAAAUCGAGGUUGAAGUUUCAUUUCUGAAUUUCACUCUGAAAUAUCCAUGAGUGAUGUAUAAAAUUGCAAAAUGUUUUUUUUUUUCCUAUUUUUGUGAUAUUGACAGUAUGAGAUUUUCUGAAACUUCGUAUGAUAGGUCUCUGGCACCUACAGAUGGCAAUUUACUUCAUUUUUAUUCAUUAGAAGAUACAUAGAACCCAGUAGGCACCUUCAGAAUUUGUGACGUCAUGGUGUUUGGCGCGGGAACAUCAAGGUGCCGUUUCCACCCGCAUUUUCUUUACGCGCGUUUUCACGCUUACCAAGCGUCGUGUCGUGGCAAGAAUGGGGUAGCAGGAUUGUGAAAUUGUACCUUACUAAUACGCGAGAAAAUUGUUUUGCUCUUUAGUUUACCUUUAAAUGCAUACGGGGGAGAUGUAGUCUUCUUUUUUGCAUAGAGGGCUUAUCGCCAUGUUCAUAAACAAAGCGAUUACGUAGUGCUGAUGUUGAAUUUUGUGAAAGCCAUGGUGCGACGUUGUGUUUGUUACAUGUCUUAGAAAGGUUUCUCGAAUCCAUCCUUUGUGAACCUCUUGCAAUGUCAUCCUACAGGUCGUGUCAAGUAAUACCUUGAUAUAUCUGUCCUGUACAUCGACGCAUUGCGCGGAAGUAUUGCUGCUUAGAUAAGAUACGGUUGACUACAACGUCUUACCGUCUCCCAUUAAUGUUGUCAUCUUCCAACUACUUUUACAAUUACCGUAACCUUUUUCGGUGCUUGCGUGGAUGUAUGCUUCUUCUGCGAACUAACAUUCAGCAGCGCAAGCUCUUAAAGGUCUCAUGGUGCACAAAUGAUGUACAGGGUGUCUCUUUUCAAUUGCAACUGUUUUUUUUUUUUCGUAUAUUGCAUGCUACAGUCAAUGUGGAAUCGUGUCGUAUGUUUCCUUUGUGAAAAGUGGACUGUUUGGUUUGUCAGGUGUAUAUGUGCAGCAGAGUGACAUGAAUGCAUUAAUGUGUGCUAAUUACUGUCAUGUUUGAGGAUAAGUCAGAGAAAUAGAACCCUUAGGCUUGCAAUUUGGUAGCUGAAGUGAUUUCAGAACACUAUUCGCAGCGUUUAUGUUCCUUCUUUAGAAAACCUUAACGACGCGAGAUUGCGAUUUGCGGCUAUAUAUAUUUUUAAGCACAAACAUAUAUUGCUCUAUCCUAUGAGAAAAAAAAAUGUUUCGAAAUAGCUUAGCAGAUAAAAUCACUAUAAAAUAUUCAAGUCUGUUAUUAUGAUGACCAUAAAUCUAGCCUCUUAGCAUUAUAAGUCUGCAUUUGUAGUGAAAAACGCCAGCCUACGUUUGUGAAACCUUCUGAUGACAUGUGACAAAGCUUGCCCAUUGUGAAAAUACUUGUGCCAAUGGGAUGUGCCGUAACCGCUGUUGUCAACUGCAUGUGGUGUCGUCCAUUGUUUGUAUGCUAAGCCCAUGUGGCUUUCGCCGUGUCUUCUCUGUCUGUUCUGCUACUCUCAACCGAACACAAGUUAAGCGCAUCUCAGGAAACUGUAUACCCUAGGCGCACGGCGCAUUCUGGGUUGUGCAUGGUACACCCUGUGGCGCCUGCACUCGGCCUCUCUGUCUCUCCCUUGCCCUCCUUCGACGCGUUUACACCUUCAGUAUUGGUGCUUCCAGGUGCAUAGCUGUAGACUUGCAAGGUUGCCGCAGAGGAUCGUUGAUUCGAGGCUGAUUAUAUAAGAACGGCCAUGAAUCCUGUAGUGUACCGUGAUGCGGAUGAAUGAACUUAUGCGUUGUUAUCGAAUAUUUAAAAUGAAAAAAAAAGUGAGGUCAAGAGAAUGCAGCAAAGGCAAGCAGGUUAACUAGACUUUGUUCAGCAUGCUACCCUGCACGUGGGGUAGGGAAUGGUGGUAGAAGAGAAAGAGAGGGAAAGCAUGAAAGUAGACUGCAGUAGACAAGCACAGUGCAGUAACUGUGACACUGCGGUCUCUUCAGUUGAAUUUGUCAGUGCACAUGAGUCAAACCGUCUUCCCAUCGUGAUAGCUCUAUUGAGUAUGUAUCCUUACAUACUAUCCUUGUUUCGCAAGUGACACUGUAGCAAUAUGUGCACAUUACCAAGUUUGAACAAUGGAGAUAUUGCUGUUUAUAAAGCAUUCUAUCUAUAGACUGGUUCAGUUUGCACAGUGUCCGGUAACGGCUAAGCAAACAUUGACGAACUGGUACACGCGCAUGCUGCAAGUCGUCUUUGAGAAUGGAUCUAUCAAGUUUACAGCGUGCCAACGCUCAAAGUCAAUCAGUCUAAACAAAGGAACCAUGCGCGCCUAUUCUGGCACGUAUAGUCGUUUUGGUAAGUAUUGAGGAACCACGUCGAAGCAAAAUGAUUGGAAAAUUAAUGGAAGUCCACGGCUACAAAAUUACCAUAGCGUGCUCAUUCACUAGCUCUCCCGCUUAUUUACCUGUGGGUAUAAGUGAUCUAUAUUGCUGAAGUUGAUGUUUCCGAAAGAGGGACUUAACAUUCAGCAAUGCUUCAGAGUGCAGGGUGUAUACUGAUCUCCUGUACAGGACUGCAAGACAUGACCGUCAGUGUGUAAACGCGAAAGUGCUCAGUGUACAGAACCAGUUCGUUGCCGUGAGAACAUGAACACUUUUCAAAACUGUUACUCAACAUUAAUUGUCGCUUCAUUUGCCCUCAGCUGGUCGCUUCAAAUCUUCGUCGCGCCAAGAUCCCGUUGUUUUGUGUUAAACUGGUGAUGUGUUUCAGCAGCUAAUAGUAGCCCCGCUUGGCCAUCGAAAGAGAAGGCCUGUCUAUAUUUAUGUCAGUAUAUACGCAUAUGAACACCAUUUAUCCCUCAUGUGUUUAACCUUUUCUGACAAAUUUUGCCAAUGGGACAGUGCGUGUGGAAUAGAAACAUUAUUAAAACUCAAAACUGCAAUGAACCAGAGAAAGUUCGUCCUUUUGAUGUUGAGUGUCUGUCUCGGACAUUAAAGCAAGUUUAUGUUGGGCAUAAUAUGUAUCUUCUAAAAAAACAGAUAUGUACAGACUUGGGUGUAUAUGCGCUAUAAAUACUACCCAAUUCCGUAAAAACGUCUCUUCGGACUGAAACUUACAAUACAUAUGCCAUUAUAACAACUCCUUCCUCACGCUCACUAUACCAUGUGAGUACAUCAUGGUGCAUCUUUCUGCCGUUUCCUCUUUAUUACCAUACAACCGGUAAUGCAUAAAGAUUGUUCCGUAACUGCGAUAACUCAAAGUUUGGCUUAUUGUACGAGCCAGCACGUGGUUCUUCCUUUCGAGGUGCUUGACAUUGUGCUAAUGCGUACCGUGCUAACCAUCGCCACCCUGUUCCCUUGAAAUGUCUAAUGUAUUAAUGAAACAUUAAAAAUUGAUUUAUUUACUCCGAAA